AUUGAACGCUGGCGGCAGGCCUAACACAUGCAAGUCGAACGAGUGGCGGACGGGUGAGUAAUGUCUGGGAAACUGCCUGAUGGAGGGGGAUAACUACUGGAAACGGUAGCUAAUACCGCAUCCCAUCAGAUGUGCCCAGAUGGGAUUAGCUUGUUGGGGGGGUAACGGCUCACCAAGGCGACGAUCCGUAACUGGUCUGAGAGGAUGAUCAGUCACACUGGAACGGAGACACGGUCCGAAGUCCUACGGGAGGCAGCAGUGGGGAAUAUUGGACAAUUGGCGAAAGCCUGAUCCAGCCAUGCCGCGUGUGUGAAGAAGGUCUUCGGAAUGUAAAGCACUUUAAGUUGGGAGGCGUUACCACCAGAAUAAGCACCGGCUAACUUCGUGCCAGCCGCCGCGGUAAUAC
This 406-nucleotide ribosomal RNA is filed under the name uncultured bacterium. RNAcentral describes it as "partial 16S ribosomal RNA". It matches the Rfam family "Bacterial small subunit ribosomal RNA", at positions 30 to 526 of the family's 1533-position model. The record is from RNAcentral.